This 497-nucleotide ribosomal RNA is filed under the name uncultured bacterium. Its description in RNAcentral is "partial 16S ribosomal RNA". It matches the Rfam family "Bacterial small subunit ribosomal RNA", at positions 28 to 507 of the family's 1533-position model. The record is from RNAcentral.
GAUGAACGCUGGCGGCGUGCCUAAUACAUGCAAGUCGAGCGAACAGACGAGGAGCUUGCUCCUCUGACGUUAGCGGCGGACGGGUGAGUAACACGUGGAUAACCUACCUAUAAGACUGGGAUAACUUCGGGAAACCGGAGCUAAUACCGGAUAAUAUAUUGAACCGCAUUGUUCAAUAGUGAAAGACGGUUUUGCUGUCACUUAUAGAUGGAUCCGCGCCGCAUUAGCUAGUUGGUAAGGUAACGGCUUACCAAGGCAACGAUGCGUAGCCGACCUGAGAGGGUGAUCGGACACACUGGAACUGAGACACGGUCCAGACUCCUACGGGAGGCAGCAGUAGGGAAUCUUCCGCAAUGGGCGAAAGCCUGACGGAGCAACGCCGCGUGAGUGAUGAAGGUCUUCGGAUCGUAAAACUAUGUUAUUAGGGAAGAACAAAUGUGUAAGUAACUAUGCACGUAUUGACGGUACCUAAUCAGAAAGCCACGGCUAACUACGUG